This 1859-nucleotide long non-coding RNA is filed under the name Takifugu rubripes (torafugu). RNAcentral's name for it is "lncRNA (ENSTRUG00000030087.1)". Lineage: Eukaryota; Metazoa; Chordata; Actinopteri; Tetraodontiformes; Tetraodontidae. The record is from RNAcentral.
CGGCACGACCAGACCCCCACCGGCCCGACCAGACCCCCACCGGCCCGACCAGACCCCCACCAGCACGACCAGACCCCCACCAGCAUGACCACAGCCGUGUCUCUGAUGUCACUGAAUCUACGAGGAGACAGGAGCACAGAACCCACCUCAGAACCAGAGAGCAGAAUCUAAAGCAGCCAGAAGAGUCUCAGCAGCACCAAAACACUCCUGCACACUCGGCGCUGUCCAGAGGGAGUUGUGAGCAGGGAGGGAGGGAAGGGCUGAGAGAGGCUGAGGGGGAGGGAGGAAGGCUGGGGGGGGCGGGGAGGAGGAGGAGAGCCUGACUAAUGAAGUGGUUACGCUUCACUAAGCCCCCCCAGCCUACAAUCCUGCCAUGGCGGGACCCUCUUACAAAGCCUCGAUUGUUUUGUUAGCUUGCCACUCUCUCUCCACACACACACACACACACACACACACACACACACACGGCAAUACUAUUAUUGCCUUGUGAGGUGGGGGUCGUGACCCCACCACUUCCUUUUCACCCCCCCACCUUCCCAGUUGAUUCCCAGGAUCGUCCCGUUUAGGUUGGGUCCUGUUGGAGGCCUCAGGAGGGGCAGGUCUCUUCAGAAUGGGGGGGGGGCUGAGACCCCUGCUGCAUGGAAACGUCCACUCAUGAGGGUCCGUUAACGUCCGAGAUCCCAUUGGUGUCUUCGGGAGCCGGCUGGUUCCACGAAGGUUCACGACCCGGCGAUGCUGGACCAGAACAUCGGUUCAGGUUCAACCCGGAACAGGAACGUUCUGUCCCCUUUCAGAGGAAACUCCAGAAGGUCACAAAUGGAUCGGAAUCGGAACGAUGACAUUUAGCAGGAACAAACGCAGAAUGGUUCCGAUUCUUCUGAGCCCGCGGGUGUUGGUGACAGAUGGUGCAGGAGGGAAAGGGCAAAUGUUUGGGGCAGGGGUGGGGGGGAGGUGUGUGGGGGGGGGAGAAUACCUUCAAUAUUUUUUUUCUUCUACAAAAUGACACAAUUUAUAUUAUUCCAUACUCUUUCAGCCAGCAAAAUGAGUUCUACAAGGUAUUAUUAUACAAAAAAAUGUCACAGUUCCACAAAAAACUGUUUUUCCCCCGUCCCUAAGCUUUACAGCAUCAGUACCUUUGCAGAAUUAUUUACAGGUUUUUAAGUACAUUCAUCCACUGCUGAGUAUAGAAUCACAUUAGAUACAAGUGACAGGGAUCAUAAAAAAAACAAAAACAUACUAUUUUAUUCAAUCCUACCAAAGUAAUGCUUCUAUUACUCCACAGAGCAAGUUCUCCAGUGGCUGCAUCGGCAUGAAAGAGAUCUUCUUUAUAUAUAUAUAUAUUCACAACAUAUUUACAGGAUUCUUUUCAUUAACUGUAAUGGUAUCAUUUCAAUAAUAAAUAAGUGAAAAUAUAUUGACUCAAGUAAGAAAACCAAGCUACCAAAAUUCUAAAGAAAACAAACUAAUUUCUCUGCGUCAGUCGCCGGCCGAGUUCUCCCCCGCGGCGUCCGUCUACUAGCCCCGCCCCUUUCCAGCUCACCCAGGUGCGUCGGUGGGCCGCCGCCCGCGUCCGUCGGUGGGACCGAGAGGAACAACAGCCAGUCGUGAAUGAAAUGUGCUCGUGGCGGGGGUUCGUGGGUUGAGGCCCCCGGGGAAGCGGAGAGCUCCCCCUGGUGGCGGCUGGUGGAAGACCCCGUGGCAGUUUCUGUUUGUGAGGGAGGAUUUGAACACAAGUCGUAGAGGAGGUGCUGGGGGGGGGGGUUAAGGUGCCCGGCGCAGCUGAGGGACGAUCUCCGUUCACGAGCUGGUCGCCUCUGGACCUGUGGACCUGCUACGACUCGCCGGCGGCCUCCUGCUCU